Molecule: ribosomal RNA, 442 nt
Filed under: uncultured bacterium
Lineage: Bacteria
Description: partial 16S ribosomal RNA
Rfam family: Bacterial small subunit ribosomal RNA
Source: RNAcentral
CCUACGGGAGGCAGCAGUGGGGAAUAUUGGGCAAUGGGCGCAAGCCUGACCCAGCAACGCCGCGUGAAGGAAGAAGGCUUUCGGGUUGUAAACUUCUUUUAAGGGGGAAGAGCAGAAGGCGGUACCCCUUGAAUAAGCCACCGCUAACUACGUGCCCGCAGCCGCGGUAAUACGUAGGUGGCAAGCGUUGUCCGGAUUUACUGGGUGUAAAGGGCGUGCAGCCGGGGAGACAAGUCAGAUGUGAAAUCCACGGGCUCAACCCGUGAACUGCCUUUGAAACUGUUUCCCUUGAGUGUCGGAGAGGUAAGCGGAAUUCCUGGUGUAGCGGUGAAAUGCGUAGAUAUAAGGAAGAACACCAGUGGCGAAGGCGGAUUACUGGACGAUAACUGACGGUGAGGCGCGAAAGCGUGGGGAGCAAACAGGAUUAGAUACCCCAGUAGUC